This 927-nucleotide ribosomal RNA is filed under the name Triticum aestivum (bread wheat). Its description in RNAcentral is "partial small subunit ribosomal RNA". The record is from RNAcentral. Lineage: Eukaryota; Viridiplantae; Streptophyta; Magnoliopsida; Poales; Poaceae.
AUGACGAUGAUGAUGCAGAUUAGGCCUCAUAUUGCCAUCUCAAAUCUCAUGGUGGUGGUAGGAGCCGUGAUGCUGCUGCUGCUGCAGCAGGGUCGUUGGGCUGAGGCGCAGCCCUCUCCCGGCUACUACCCGAGCUCCAAGGUGAGCUCAAUGCCCUUCUCGCAGUGGUACAGCAACCUGUGGGGCGCCCAGCACCAGUCCCUCUCCCCGGACCAGACCUCCCUCACCCUCUGGAUGGACCGCAGCUCAGGGAGCGGGUUCAAGUCGAAGCGGGCGUACCGGAACGGCUACUUCGGCGUCUCCAUGAAGGUCCAGCCCGGCUACACCGCCGGCGUCAACACCGCCUUCUACCUGUCCAACAACGAGGCGUACCCGGGGUACCACGACGAGAUCGACGUGGAGCUGCUGGGCACCGUCCCCGGCGAGCCCUACACGCUGCAGACCAACGUGUACGUCCGCGGCACGGGCGACGCCCACCCCAUCGUCGGCCGGGAGAUGCGGUUCCACCUCUGGUUCGACCCCGCCGCGGCCUUCCACCACUACGCCGUGCUCUGGAACCCCGACGAGAUCGUCUUCCUCGUCGACGACGUGCCCGUGCGCCGCUACCAGAAGAAGGUGGAGGCCACGUUCCCCGAGCGCGAGAUGUGGGCCUACGGCUCCGUCUGGGACGCCUCCGACUGGGCCACCGACGGCGGCCGCUACAGGUCCGACUACCGCUACCAGCCCUUUGUGUCCGGGUUCAAGGAUUUCAAGGUCGCCGGCUGCGAGGUCGGCGCGCCGGCGUCGUGCAGCCCCGUGCCGGCGGGCCCCGGAGGCGGGCUGAGCGCGCAGCAGACCGCCGCCAUGAGCUGGGCGCAGCAGCGGGCCAUGGUCUACUACUACUGCCAGGAUAGCUCCAAGGACCGCUCCAACUACCCCGAGUGCUAG